RNAcentral lists this ribosomal RNA (777 nucleotides) under Triticum aestivum (bread wheat). RNAcentral's name for it is "partial small subunit ribosomal RNA". The record is from RNAcentral. Lineage: Eukaryota; Viridiplantae; Streptophyta; Magnoliopsida; Poales; Poaceae.
AUGCGGCUACUCUCCGGCGUCCCCGCCUCCCGCCUCACCUCCCCGCGCAUCUCCUUCGCCCGCUCGAGCCGUAGAAGCAUGGGGGCGAACGGCCCCGCAAGCAGCACCGCCGCCUCGUCAUCCUCUUCCUCGGCCACUGCCGGCGCCGGCGCCGGCGCGGCCCAGAAGCCGUGGCUGUUCGUCGGGCUCGGGAACCCCGGCAGGAUGUACAAGGGGACCCGCCACAACGUUGGGUUUGAGAUGAUUGAUGCUAUUGCAGAAGCUGAGGGGAUAUCUGUCAGCACUAAGCAGUUCAAAUCGAUGGUUGGGAAAGGCCUCAUUGGUGAUGUCCCUGUAAUGCUUGCCAAGCCGCAGACUUUUAUGAAUGCAAGUGGUGAGUCUGUUGGCCAGCUGGUUUCAUAUUUCAAGAUACCACUUAAUCAAGUCGUUCUGAUCUACGAUGAUCUAGACUUACCCUUUGCAAAACUACGUCUACUGCCAAAGGGGGGACAUGGUGGGCACAAUGGGAUGAGAAGUGUCAUUCACCAUCUGAAACAAAGCCGUGAUUUCCCGCGGCUAAGAGUUGGCAUUGGACGGCCAACUGGAAUGAUGGGAGCCAUCGGUUUUGUUCUACGUGCAUUCAGCAAGGAAGAACAAGAAGAGCUUGAUUCCACGUUUCUGAGGGGCUUGCAAGCGGUGCGGAUAAUGUUGCUGGAAGGGUUCAACAAGAGUGCGACCUUUGUGAACACUCCAGCUCCACAGCCACGUGAAAACGUUGAAGAGAUGAAAAUAACCUGA